GGUGUCACCCAUGGAGAUGUCACCCCCGGAGGUGUCACCUGGCCACGGCGACGUCACCGGAAGCCAUGGAGAUGUCACCUGGGCGAGCGUCACCCAUCGCGGUGUCACCCAUAACCACCUCAUCAGUGUCACCCAUCGCGACGUCACCCAUCACGGCGGUGUCCCCUCCACGUCCCCGGAAGGGCCACCGAAGCGCCACAGCGACCUGCCAGGACCGGGGGGCAAACGGGCGCGGCUGGACGCCACCGGCAGCGGGGACAGCGCGGCCACCGGGUGAGUGGCGGCACCC
This 289-nucleotide long non-coding RNA is filed under the name Gallus gallus (chicken). Lineage: Eukaryota; Metazoa; Chordata; Aves; Galliformes; Phasianidae. The record is from RNAcentral.